This is a long non-coding RNA of Zea mays, 1517 nucleotides long. RefSeq lists it as uncharacterized. The record is from RefSeq and is marked validated. NCBI's taxonomy places the organism in Eukaryota, Viridiplantae, Streptophyta, Magnoliopsida, Poales, Poaceae.
AAGUAUUCGUAAAUUAUUAGGAACACAAACCUGUAGUAGAGUUCUCCCUCACAUCCACCAGGGCAAGCAACAACUGAUGGCAGACAGAAUUGAUGCCACAAGACUAUUCACUGUUCUGCUACACUUGUGUAUAAGUUGAAUAUUAGUCCACUGCUUUUGUGUUUGCAUACAAUAGUUCAUUAGCAAGGAAUGAUGAAUCAAUUAGAUGCGUGAAGUUUUCUUAUGAACAUAACUUUUAUAUAUUCUUCUGACCUGGCAUGUCAUUGCUUAAUAUUCUGCUGCACUAUAGGGCUGCUAUUUUAAUUUAUGCUAGACUUCCUCGGACGCCCUUUAUCUUCAUUUUUUUUGCUCUUGAGUUUUACCAUUGACAUGCCUUCUGCUACAUUCUUUGGGUGUUGUCCUAGUUUUAUUGUCAGCAUCAUGUACAUAUUCGUUCCAUUUUUUCAUGCCACAUAUCUACUCUGUAUUGGGGCUUAUGUGUUGAAUGUUACAGAGCUCUUUGUUUAGGUAGAUGAACUUAAUUGCAUCCAGUCCAUGUACCCAACGGUGUAGAACUUCGCACCAGAUUCUUCCAGUGCACAAAGUUUAGAUGAACUUGCUUAUAGCACUUAUUCGUUUGUUGAUUGAAUCCAAUAUUUGUAGCUGUAGUUGAUUAAAGAAAGGUGACCAGCGACAUAUAGUGAAUUUGCUUUGGUCAGGAACAGUGCAUGUAGAACUUAUCAGAUAUCUAUAACACCUAUGACAAAAUGCCUCUGUUACCUAUAUGAUACAUUCCCCUUAAUAAAAAGUCGAGUCAUAUGCCUCUGUUCUUCAAUUUCUCAUGUGAAUCUUCUGAUUCAGCCUAAGAUUCGGUUCUCUUUUUCUUUAUUUUGUUUCAUGUUUCUUUUGGUUCAUAUGGAUUUGUGUAGUGCAACUAUUGAAACGGACAGCACACAAGCUCCAAUUUCUCAGGGUGAGUUUGCUUGUAGCACUUAUUUGUUUAGUGAUUGGAUCCUAGAUUUGUCAGUCAAGUCAUCAGACCUGGGGCUGCUACAUGUUCACUUAGUGAAGAAUCAUCUAGAUUAAACUUAGAUUAUAAUUCUUUUUGUGCUUUACAAGGGAGCUUAGACUGCAAGGUUCUUAAAUUAGUUGUUGGAAGUAAUAUUUUCUUUCAAUAGAAUAGCAAUGGCAUCCUUUCAGUCCUAGCGCUUGGAACUAUGUGCAAGUGAACAUGUAAAUCACGACCAAAGACCAUCCCUGGCCCUGAUUGACACUUUAUUCGGUCAUCCAAACUCGACUGCAACAUCAUAAAAUUAGAAGGCAUAAUUAAUGCAUUUUAGUGUGAACUGGUACCGGAAGCUCACAGUAUGUUCUCGUCCAGUUCAGCUAUGCCAGCUACAGUAUACAUAUGUGUUACUUUCUAUAAUAAAGAAUAUUUCUGACUGUAGUGCUUUUCUGCAACGUCAUAAAAUUAGAAGGCAUAGUAUAUGAUUUGACAUUGUUAAUUGUCCACAAAACAAUAGUGUUUUUCUUUCUCA